Daphnia pulicaria is the source of this 3205-nucleotide long non-coding RNA. RefSeq lists it as uncharacterized. Lineage: Eukaryota; Metazoa; Arthropoda; Branchiopoda; Diplostraca; Daphniidae. The record is from RefSeq and is a predicted model, not a curated record. The transcript has 3 exons.
AACGUAUAGUAUAUAACAAGUCGACAAGGACAUGCCCGUUUACGGUGGAAAUAAAUAAAAGAGAGAUGGUGUAUCCUUGGGAUGAGGUCAUUGGAUUGGCUUAGUAUAAUUAUUACACUACCGCCGAGAAAUAAAUGCAAGUAGCGUGAAAGAACGUGUUCACAAAGACGACCGUGGCAAUACAUCCAAGGCAACAUGUAGAGCUAGCUAGAGAACUACACAUCAAAGUUGUUAGAAAGCUAUACGAUCACGGAAGACGGAAACCUUGCAACAAGGCCAAACGGGUCCUAGUUGGGGGACAUCCUUGAGAUAUUUGAACGCGGAUCCUUUUUGUUUCUUUCCUCCUCGUCCCUAUUGUGUGUGUAUACAUUUUUCACGACUAUUGUCGGGAGGCCAUGAUAAAACAUUUAAACGAGCCCAGAUUUGAGCCGUUUAGUAUAUGGUCACGGGUAAUCGACCUUCACCUCAACACACACAGUAGUCACGAAAUUUGUUUGGAUAUAUACUUUCAAUGGUUGUGAGCUGCUGUGUGUGUUCCGACAUUCAGCAGAGCUCGUUUGGCCUUUUGUGCGCUCACAACCUUGAGUCGAUCGAUCCAAUAUCAUCUGCCAGUCCCGCGGGAAAAUGAGCAGGGCAAUGUCUAUACAGACGUUUCCAAGGUAUACUAAAUGAUAAGACUCUGUUUAUUUUGGUUUUUUUAAAAAUACUUUUCCUUUGAAAAGUGAAAAUUAAAUUUUGAUUUUGAUUUAUUUAUUUGAUUCAGUUCGUCUUACAAGUUCAACGUGUACGAAUUUUCCAUAAUUUUUCAUUGGUAGAAUGAGAAAAUAGUUUCGUACCGGCCAACCCACACAGGACAAGUCGUCUGAGCAGUUCAAGGGCAGUCGGCCAUGUUGGCGUGAUUUUCUUUUCAUGCGGCUGCUUUUAUCUCAAGGUCAGUUGCCCGUUGCGCUCCCGAUGCAGACAACAUAUUACAUUCCGGGGGGAUGAUGAUGACGACGACCGCGUUCAUUUUUCACUCACGGCCAAUUCACCGUCAGACAUUUUUGUUUUCGGCUGUAAAAUGUCGACCGACACGAAUUUUAUCAUUUCGCAGCCCUUGGAAUCAGAUCCAAUUCUGUCCAGGUUAUUUAACCCUCGUCCAAGGUUAAUGUGUCUUUGCAGCCCGCUCACGAAAUAUUGUUCAACAUGUUGUCCAUAUAAUCAGACGAUCCCCCUUGGCGUCAAGGACGUCUAUCAUUAGUUGAGGUACCCGUGAGGAUUUGUCUGCCGUUCCUUUUUGGCAUUGGCCGAUCAAUGACGCCAAGGUGACGGAUAUGAGCCAAAAUAACUUGUCAUCAUCAAAAACUUGCGCUCGUCCGAGUCUUGCAUGAAAGAUAACGUGUAUUGUUUAUUAUCUGGGCGAUUAUUACGAGACAAAAGGAGACGAAUAGAACAAUUUUUGGUGGUAAAAUCUGGAGCAAUGUCAUUGACAUUCGUCUACAAAAGAGCGCAGGAUGUGCUGCAGGCACUUUUCUUUUUUCUUCCUAACAUGUUUAAAAGUUGUGCUGAUGUCAGUAUACCAUUUUAUACCGGGAACGACCUUGGGAGACUAUAGUCCCGCCUCCCGCCACUCUCGGGCGGGAGCUAUUUGGCGUGCGGUAUCAAAGCCAAGGCCAACAACUUCUUCUUCUUUUCUGUCUUCUUUUUUAUUCUUUUUUAUUUUCCUUGUAUUCCGCAUCAUCUAAUAUAGGAAAAUCAAGUUUUCUCUAUUGUUUUUCUUUUUUCUUUUCUCCCUUUUGAGAAUGUUCAUUUGACUUGCUGCAACACUUUGACAAAAUUUAUCGAGUACGACUGCUGUUGUUGCCGACCAUAUUCGGGAAUUAUUUCAAGGGCGGUUGAAUUAAUAGCCCGUAAAAAGUAACUACAAGAAAAUGAGAGAGUUGACUGAACCGCCCUUUUUUUGCCUGUAGAAAUGGCCACAGAGCUAAAACGAAAGUCAUAAUACCUGUUCAGGUGAAUAAACUUACUCGACAGCGCAGGUGCGUGUUGGUGUGGAACGUUUAAAAUUAGGGGGGCAAACAAAAAAAAUUGAGACAAUUUUAUUUGUCAGGGUCUGGUUAUUUAUUUUUUGUUUUUUUUGCGUGUGAAAUAAUUUCAAUUUGUUUUUAAUUUUUCACUGGGAAAAGAUGGAUUCCAGGAACAUUUCAGGCUACGAAAACAUUUCACUCUUCUCCUUAUUAAAAAUGUGUUUAUUUUGUUUUCGGCCAUUUGCGGAAUCGGAUUUCAGAAAGAAAAAUUGUAAUGGUAAAGUUUGGUUGGAAUAUGUUUUUUAAUGAGCUUCUUAAUUUAUUUAUUCGUCAAGCGAAACCGUAAGUGAACCGAAAAAAAAGAAACGAUGACCUUUCGAACCGGAAAAUCCUUUUAUCAAUAAUAUAAAAUGUGCACACCAACUACACCAUCCGGUGGAUUUAUAAAAAAAUAAGACGAAUGAAGAAGACCAAAGGUGAGUAUGAUUUUCCACAAAAGGGUUACACAAUGUGGGCUCGAUGAUGGCGUAGGGAGAAAAAACAGAGGGGUGAGAGAGUGAAAGUGCCGUGGGGAGCAGAUGGCGGAUGGCGGAACACAUGGAUACCAGAAGCGGACACACCUUCCUUACCCGUCAUCUGAUCCAUCGCGCAGUUUUUGCGUGACCUACUUCAAUGGCAUUCAUUCCGGAAAGAAGAAAAAUAAAAUGGCGCGAUCCUUGAGAAAAUUGUGAAUUUGACCGGACAUAAAAGGAAUUGAAAACAAUAUCAUCCAUUCCGCCAGCCACAAGGUUAUUUGCUAGCUGUCUUUAUUCAGUUCCUCAUUUGUCGGUCAGGAAUUCAGUUCCGGUAUCCUUGCGUCAGUGCGGUUUUUAUUCAAGACACGCUGCGCCUUGUAGGGUUUUCCUACCCCCAAGCAAAGUUAUAUACUCUAUUAAUUGAGUGUUAACCUUCCAAGUAGGUGUGUCAUAGUAGUUACAAGGCUAUACGUUGAAUUAAAUUUUGAUUAUUCCAGAAGCGCGAUCAUCUUUUUAUUUUAAAAUUGGUCAACUGACGUGACGAAUGGCGCCGAUAGGUGGCCCUGAGGCGGUUCGCCCUUGAAAAUCGUUGUGUGUGUAAUCUAUCGACAAACCCAAAAAGAAACUGAAAGUUUUGUUUCUCACACACAUAGGUGCACACACACACACACAUAGAGAAGUGUG